CUAGUAAUCGCGAAUCAGCAUGUCGCGGUGAAUACGUUCCCGGGUCUUGUACACACCGCCCGUCACACCAUGGGAGUCAGUAACGCCCGAAGCCGGUGACCCAACCUUUUAGGAGGGAGCCGUCGAAGGCGGGACCGAUAACUGGGGUGAAGUCGUAACAAGGUAGCCGUAUCGGAAGGUGCGGCUGGAUCACCUCCUUUCUAAGGAA
This 208-nucleotide ribosomal RNA is filed under the name Mordavella massiliensis. RNAcentral describes it as "partial 16S ribosomal RNA". It matches the Rfam family "Bacterial small subunit ribosomal RNA", at positions 1335 to 1533 of the family's 1533-position model. Lineage: Bacteria; Bacillati; Bacillota; Clostridia; Eubacteriales; Clostridiaceae. The record is from RNAcentral.